AAGGCCUUCCGAGUNUUAACUGCUUUUUNNNGGNANUAAUUCUGAAUGUACUCCAGAUAGCACCGNAAAUCACGUGCCAGCAGCCGCGGUAAUACGUGAGGUGNAAACAUUACCCGGANUUAUUGGGCGUAAAGCGUCCGCAGGUGGCGUGGUAAGUAGGGUAUUAAUCUUGAGGCUCAACUUCAAGUCUGUGCUCUAAACUGCCAUGCUAGAGAAAGGGAGAGGUGAGUGGAAUUUCUACAUGUAGGGGUAAAAUCCGUAGAUAUGUAGAGGAACACCAAAAGCGAAGGCAGCUCACUGGCCCUUUUCUGACACUCAGGGACGAAAGCGUGGGGAGCGAACGGGAUUAGAUACCCCGGUAGUCCACGCUGUAAACGAUGAUCACUCGAUGUCGGGAGUUCGACCCUCUCGGUGUCUAAGCAAACGCGAUAAGUGAUCCGCCUGAGAACUACGAUCGCAAGAUUAAAACUCAAAGGAAUAGACGGGGACCCACACAAGCGGUGGAGCGUGUGGUUCAAUUCGAUAGUAAGCGAGGAACCUUACCAGGGUUUGACAUCCUCCGAAUUUUCUGGAAACAGAGAAGUGCCGUAAGGAACGGAGAGACAGGUGCUGCAUGGUUGUCGUCAGCUCGUGCCUUGAGGUGUUCGGUUAAGUCCGUAAACGAGCGCAACCCACGUCCUUUGUUGUAUUUUUCAAAGGAGACUGCCUAGCAUAACUAGGAGGAAGGUGUGGAUGACGUCAAAUCAGCAUGGCCCUUAUACCCUGGGCGACACACGCGCUACAAUGGCCGGUACAACGGGCAGCCAAGGAGUAAUCCGGAGCGAAUCCCUAAAACCGGUCCAAGUUCGGAUUGAGGGCUGCAACUCGCCCUCAUGAAGCUGGAAUCGCUAGUAAAUGUGUAUCAGCCACGGCGCAUUGAAUAUGUUCCUGGGUCUUGUACUCACCGCCCGUCAAGUCAUGAAGGGUUGGGGUGCCCGAAAUUCCCGCUCAGCGGGGCUUGAGGCAAAACAACUGAUUGGGACUAAGUCGUAACAAGGUAAC
RNAcentral lists this ribosomal RNA (1041 nucleotides) under uncultured bacterium. Its description in RNAcentral is "bacterial SSU rRNA". It matches the Rfam family "Bacterial small subunit ribosomal RNA", at positions 411 to 1500 of the family's 1533-position model. The record is from RNAcentral.